AUGGAUGGUGUCGCGGCAGACCGAGUAGCUUCGGAAGAAGGCGUUGGGAUCAAAGAGCUCAAAGGCUUGGUUGAAUUUCCUUGGAGCAUCCUCGUGCAGGAGGGUGGGUCUCCUCGGCCCUCCCACUGCCUGCAGUGUGUAGCGCGCCAGCAGGUUGCUGUGCAGGAGCACGCGGCACCUGUGACCUUCGCUCAGGUUGAUGAUGAUGUCUCGCUUGAUACUCCCUUCUCCGCUGAGACGGCACUCUGUCGCCGCUGCAGCCACCAGCGGCAUUCUGCUCAAUGGCGGCCAAGGCAUGCCUUGUGGCUGUCCAGGAAGCUCGAAUCAGGCUGGACCUGA
RNAcentral lists this ribosomal RNA (339 nucleotides) under Triticum aestivum (bread wheat). Its description in RNAcentral is "partial small subunit ribosomal RNA". The record is from RNAcentral. Lineage: Eukaryota; Viridiplantae; Streptophyta; Magnoliopsida; Poales; Poaceae.